This 449-nucleotide ribosomal RNA is filed under the name uncultured bacterium. RNAcentral describes it as "partial 16S ribosomal RNA". It matches the Rfam family "Bacterial small subunit ribosomal RNA", at positions 29 to 523 of the family's 1533-position model. The record is from RNAcentral.
AACGAACGCUGGCGGCAUGCCUAACACAUGCAAGUCGAACGAGAUCUUCGGGUCUAGUGGCGCACGGGUGCGUAACGCGUGGGAAUCUGCCCUUUGGUUCGGAAUAACAGUUGGAAACGACUGCUAAUACCGGAUGAUGACGAAAGUCCAAAGAUUUAUCGCCAGAGGAUGAGCCCGCGUAGGAUUAGCUAGUUGGUGUGGUAAAGGCGCACCAAGGGGACGAUCCUUAGCUGGUCGGAGAGGAUGAUCAGCCUCACGGGGACUGAGACACGGCCCAGACUCCUACGGGAGGCAGCAGUGGGGAAUAUUGGAGAAUGGGCGAAAGCCUGUUCCAGCAAUGCCGCGUGAGUGAUGAAGGCCUUAGGGUUGUAAAGCUCUUUUGCCCGGGAGGAUGAUGACAGUACCGGGAGAAUAAGCUCCGGCUAACUCCGUGCCAGCCGCCGCCGUAA